CUUUCAUGAUGAAUGGUUUUUUUUUCAGUUCUGCUUCUGAACUAAAAUGUCGAUAAUAAACCUCUUACCAAAAAUUUAUCUGAUCU
Molecule: small nucleolar RNA, 86 nt
Filed under: Sphaerulina musiva SO2202
Lineage: Eukaryota; Fungi; Ascomycota; Dothideomycetes; Mycosphaerellales; Mycosphaerellaceae
Source: RNAcentral